UACAGAGGGUGCGAGCGUUAAUCGGAAUUACUGGGCGUAAAGCGCGCGUAGGCGGCUUCGCAAGUCGAGUGUGAAAUCCCCAGGCUCAACCUGGGAACUGCGUCUGAUACUGGAUGGCUUGAAUCCGGGAGAGGGAUGCAGAAUUCCAGGUGUAGCGGUGAAAUGCGCAGAUAUCAGGAGGAACACCGGUGGCGAAGGCGGUUCUCUGGGCCUGUACUGACGCUGAGGAACGAAAGCGUGGGGAGCGAACAGG
This 253-nucleotide ribosomal RNA is filed under the name uncultured bacterium. RNAcentral describes it as "partial 16S ribosomal RNA". It matches the Rfam family "Bacterial small subunit ribosomal RNA", at positions 524 to 776 of the family's 1533-position model. The record is from RNAcentral.